CAUUUUACAACAUGCUCUCUCUGAAGUCCGCUGAGAGCUUCCUCUGUACAAUACAACUUGCUGUCCACAAUCCUUUAUCUGUAACCUGAACAUUUCCUUUCUAUUGAUCCCAGAUAAUGAGUUCUUCACAU
Long non-coding RNA from Sapajus apella (tufted capuchin), 131 nucleotides. RefSeq lists it as uncharacterized. The transcript has 3 exons. NCBI's taxonomy places the organism in Eukaryota, Metazoa, Chordata, Mammalia, Primates, Cebidae. The record is from RefSeq and is a predicted model, not a curated record.